RNAcentral lists this ribosomal RNA (497 nucleotides) under uncultured bacterium. Its description in RNAcentral is "partial 16S ribosomal RNA". It matches the Rfam family "Bacterial small subunit ribosomal RNA", at positions 28 to 507 of the family's 1533-position model. The record is from RNAcentral.
GAUGAACGCUGGCGGCGUGCCUAAUACAUGCAAGUCGAGCGAACGGACGAGAAGCUUGCUUUUCUGAUGUUAGCGGCGGACGGGUGAGUAACACGUGGAUAACCUACCUAUAAGACUUGGAUAACUUCGGGAAACCGGAGCUAAUACCGGAUAAUAUUUUGAACCGCAUGGUUCAAAAGUGAAAGACGGUCUUGCUGUCACUUAUAGAUGGAUCCGCGCUGCAUUAGCUAGUUGGUAAGGUAACGGCUUACCAAGGCAACGAUGCAUAGCCGACCUGAGAGGGUGAUCGGCCACACUGGAACUGAGACACGGUCCAGACUCCUACGGGAGGCAGCAGUAGGGAAUCUUCCGCAAUGGGCGAAAGCCUGACGGAGCAACGCCGCGUGAGUGAUGAAGGUCUUCGGAUCGUAAAACUCUGUUAUUAGGGAAGAACAUAUGUGUAAGUAACUGUGCACAUCUUGACGGUACCUAAUCAGAAAGCCACGGCUAACUACGUG